AUACGGAGGGUGCAAGCGUUAUCCGGAAUCAUUGGGUUUAAAGGGUCCGUAGGCGGAUAAUUAAGUCAGGGGUGAAAUCCCACAGCUCAACUGUGGCACUACCUUUGAUACUGGUUAUCUUGAGUUAUAGGGAAGUAGAUAGAAUAUGUAGUGUAGCGGUGAAAUGCAUAGAUAUUACAUAGAAUACCGAUUGCGAAGGCAGUCUACUAUCUGUAUACUGACGCUAAGGGACGAAAGCGUGGGGAGCGAACAGGAUUAGAUACCCUAGUAGUCC
RNAcentral lists this ribosomal RNA (274 nucleotides) under uncultured bacterium. Its description in RNAcentral is "partial 16S ribosomal RNA". It matches the Rfam family "Bacterial small subunit ribosomal RNA", at positions 523 to 796 of the family's 1533-position model. The record is from RNAcentral.